Molecule: long non-coding RNA, 244 nt
Filed under: Elaeis guineensis (African oil palm)
Lineage: Eukaryota; Viridiplantae; Streptophyta; Magnoliopsida; Arecales; Arecaceae
Description: long non-coding RNA (EGUI_LNC052772)
Source: RNAcentral
GGGUGACAUAACUUAGAUUGGUGCAAAAAACAUCACACAAAAAUUUGUUGCCACAUGAGAAAGAAGGCUGGUCGGCGGCUAGGUAGAGUCCCACAAAACUUGGACUCUUGAUUUAAGCUUGAUUUCAAACCAAUUCGAAGUCAAACUUGAACCAACCAAAUCAUGAUCCAAAGAGAAUCAGAAGAAGAAAUCACACACCUUCUAGGUGCAAAAAAUUACAUGUGAAAAUCAAUUUUACGUGUAG